AGGGGUUUAGCUCAGUUGGUAGAGCAUCGGUCUCCAAAACCGAGUGUCGUGGGUUCGAGCCCCUCAACCCCUGCCA
This 76-nucleotide transfer RNA is filed under the name Rhodobacterales bacterium. RNAcentral describes it as "tRNA-Trp". It matches the Rfam family "tRNA". Rfam says of the family: Transfer RNA (tRNA) molecules are approximately 80 nucleotides in length. Their secondary structure includes four short double-helical elements and three loops (D, anti-codon, and T loops). The record is from RNAcentral. Lineage: Bacteria; Pseudomonadati; Pseudomonadota; Alphaproteobacteria; Rhodobacterales.